This 1721-nucleotide long non-coding RNA is filed under the name Pelobates cultripes (western spadefoot toad). The record is from RNAcentral. Lineage: Eukaryota; Metazoa; Chordata; Amphibia; Anura; Pelobatidae.
UCUGGAUGAAACCGAAUAAUGGCAAAAAAUAAUUCUCCAUAAAAUGAUGCAUCCUUUUAAACAUGGAUAUCCAACAACUUGCAAUAUAUUCAGAAUUUUGUUAAAAAAAUUUAAGUUUCCAUCUGCACUAUGGCAUUGUGGGUUACUGACCAAGUGAUUUGUGGAUGGGCGAGUACCAACCAAAAUUUACCAAACGGGAGGGAGGGCAGUAAGGGGGUCAGGACUUGUAGUGGGGGAUGAUAGGCAAUAAAAGGGGAAUAGGGACUGUAGUGGGUGCUUAGUGGCAAUAGUGAUGGGUUAGGGGCUGUAGUGGGUGCUUAGUGGCAAUAGUGGGGGGUUAGGACCUGUAGUAGGUGGUUAGAGGCACUAGUGGGGGGUUAGAACCUGUAGUAGGUGGUUAGAGGCAAUAUUGGGGGGUUAGUACCUGUAGUAGGUGGUUAGAGGCAAUAUUGGAGGGUUAGGACCUGUAGUAGGUGGUUAGAGGCAAUAGUCGGGGUUUGGGCCUGUAGUAGGUGGUUAGAGGCAAUAGUGGGGGUUAGGGCCUAUAGUAGGUGUUUAGAGGCAAUAGUGCGGGGUUAGGACCUGUUGUAGGUGGUUAGAGGCAAUAGUGGGGGGUUAGGACCUGUAGUAGGUGGUUAGAGGCAAUAUUGGAGGGUUAGGACCUGUAGUAGGUGGUUAGAGGCAAUAGUCGGGGUUUGGGCCUGUAGUAGGUGGUUAGAGGCAAUAGUGGGGGUUAGGGCCUAUAGUAGGUGGUUAGGGGCAAAGUGGGGGGUAGGACCUGUAGUAGGUGGUUAGGGGCAAAUAGUGGGGGUUAGGGAACCUAUAGUAGGUGGUUAGGGGCAAAGUGGGGGGUUAGGACCUGUAGUAGGUGGUUAGGGGCAAAGUGGGGGGGUUAGGACCUGUAAUAGGUGGUUAGAGGCAAUAGUGGGGGGUUAGAACCUGUAGUAGGUGGUUAGAGGUAAUAGUGGGGGGUUAGGACCUGUAGUAGGUGGUUAGAGGCAAUAGUGGGGGGGUUGGGACCUGUUGUAGGUGGUUAGUGGCAAUAGUGGGGAGGUUAGGACCUGUACUAGGUGGUUAGAGGCAAUAGUGGAGGGUUAGAACCUGUAGUAGGUGGUUAGAGGCAAUAGUGGAGGGUUACCUGUAGGUGGUUAGAGGCAAUAGUGGGGGGUUUGUAGGUGGUUAGAGGCAAUAGUGGGGUUAGGGCCUAUAGUAGGUGUUUAGAGGCAAUAGUGGGGGGUUAGGACCUGUUGUAGGUGGUUAGAGGCAAUAGUGGGGGGUUAGGACCUGUAGUAGGUGGUUAGAGGCAAUAUUGGAGGGUUAGGACCUGUAGUAGGUGGUUAGAGGCAAUAGUCGGGGUUUGGGCCUGUAGUAGGUGGUUAGAGGCAAUAGUGGGGGUUAGGGCCUAUAGUAGGUGGUUAGGGGCAAAGUGGGGGGUUAGGACCUGUAGUAGGUGGUUAGGGGCAAAGUGGGGGGGUUAGGACCUGUAAUAGGUGGUUAGAGGCAAUAGUGGGGGGUUAGAACCUGUAGUAGGUGGUUAGAGGUAAUAGUGGGGGGUUAGGACCUGUAGUAGGUGGUUAGAGGCAAUAGUGGGGGGGUUGGGACCUGUUGUAGGUGGUUAGUGGCAAUAGUGGGGAGGUUAGGACCUGUAGUAGGUGGUUAGAGGUAAUAGUGGGGGGUUAGGACCUGUAGUAGGUGGUUAGAGGCAAUAGUGGGGGGUUGGG